Long non-coding RNA from Scylla paramamosain (green mud crab), 772 nucleotides. RefSeq lists it as uncharacterized. The record is from RefSeq and is a predicted model, not a curated record. The transcript is spliced from 2 exons. NCBI's taxonomy places the organism in Eukaryota, Metazoa, Arthropoda, Malacostraca, Decapoda, Portunidae.
GUGCAGCCUUAUUUUGCUAUUCAUGUAUGUGUUCCUUCAUUACUACAGAUUAUCAUAUCAACGAUUUCGAUGAGUUCCAAGAGUAGCCACACCUUCCCCAUCCCCAGCCACAUCCACCACAAGAGCAGCCUGCUCACCCACACCAACACCCACCACAACACCAGCCUUCUCAACUACAGAAAUUGUGGACCUUGACUAUUGCACUGUGUACCCAAUGGCGGUAGAAGCAGAAAUGACCUCUCCUGCCCUAAGUGUUGCUGAAGGAGUGUGAUACGUAAAUUGAUGUAUUAAAACUGUGGAAAUCAAUAUCAAGGUGACAUAUUUUAAUCAUAUCUUAACGAGUAGGCCGUACUUUCAGCUCUACAAGGCUGAUCCACCAAGUAGACAGGUCUCCCUGACCGGUGUCCAGAUACCAUGCAGUUGAAAGCCCACUCUGCUCAGUGAUGCCACAGCCUCAACCAGAGUUGGGCUUUCGAAAAAAAAUAAUAAUAAAUCUUAUAUUAUUGCAUCUUUUGAAUACCUGCCUUUGGGAUACCAAUCUCGCCUCUGAUGAAAUUUAAUUGAAGUGUAAAUUAAGUAAGCGAACAUCCUGUGACCAAGAACUCCCAAGAUCCUGUUUACAAUCCCAAAUGUGGCGCCUUGUUUAGUACGGAUGGGAGAGGAUGCUGUGAGAACACUUCACACCUUAGGCAAAUACCCUUCUCGAAGUCAUAAAUGAAUAAUACAUUGUUGUGUUCAGGGCCCCUAUUAAUAAACACUUUGAAAGCUAAAA